GCGGGUGUGGCGGAAUGGUAGACGCGCUGGAUUCAAAAUCCAGUGUCCUUUGGACGUGAGAGUUCAAGUCUCUCCACCCGCACCA
This 85-nucleotide transfer RNA is filed under the name Alphaproteobacteria bacterium. Its description in RNAcentral is "tRNA-Leu". It matches the Rfam family "tRNA". From Rfam's summary of the family: Transfer RNA (tRNA) molecules are approximately 80 nucleotides in length. Their secondary structure includes four short double-helical elements and three loops (D, anti-codon, and T loops). Lineage: Bacteria; Pseudomonadati; Pseudomonadota; Alphaproteobacteria. The record is from RNAcentral.